GAUGGACGCUGGCGGCGUGCCUAAUACAUGCAAGUCGAGCGAACGGACGAGAAGCUUGCUUUUCUGAUGUUAGCGGCGGACGGGUGAGUAACACGUGGAUAACCUACCUAUAAGACUGGGAUAACUUCGGGAAACCGGAGCUAAUACCGGAUAAUAUUUUGAACCGCAUGGUUCAAAAGUGAAAGACGGUCUUACUGUCACUUAUAGAUGGAUCCGCGCUGCAUUAGCUAGUUGGUAAGGUAACGGCUUACCAAGGCAACGAUGCAUAGCCGACCUGAGAGGGUGAUCGGCCACACUGGAACUGAGACACGGUCCAGACUCCUACGGGAGGCAGCAGUAGGGAAUCUUCCGCAAUGGGCGAAAGCCUGACGGAGCAACGCCGCGUGAGUGAUGAAGGUCUUCGGAUCGUAAAACUCUGUUAUUAGGGAAGAACAUAUGUGUAAGUAACUGUGCACAUCUUGACGGUACCUAAUCAGAAAGCCACGGCUAACUACGUG
This 497-nucleotide ribosomal RNA is filed under the name uncultured bacterium. RNAcentral describes it as "partial 16S ribosomal RNA". It matches the Rfam family "Bacterial small subunit ribosomal RNA", at positions 28 to 507 of the family's 1533-position model. The record is from RNAcentral.